RNAcentral lists this ribosomal RNA (506 nucleotides) under uncultured bacterium. Its description in RNAcentral is "partial 16S ribosomal RNA". It matches the Rfam family "Bacterial small subunit ribosomal RNA", at positions 29 to 523 of the family's 1533-position model. The record is from RNAcentral.
AACGAACGCUGGCGGCGUGGAUAAGACAUGCAAGUCGAACGCUAAUUUCAGGGUAGCAAUAUUUUGAAGUUGGAGUGGCGCAAGGGUGCUUAACACGUGGGUUAUCUGCCAUGAAGUCUGGGAUAACUUGCUGAAAGGCGAGCUAAUACCGGAUGUGAUCGUGAGAUCAAAGUUGGGGACCGCAAGGCCUGACGCUUUAUGAUGAGCCCGCGGCCUAUCAGCUAGUUGGUGAGGUAAUGGCUCACCAAGGCUAAGACGGGUAGCUGGUCUGAGAGGACGACCAGCCACACUGGAACUGAGACACGGUCCAGACACCUACGGGUGGCAGCAGUCGAGAAUGUUUCUCAAUGGGCGAAAGCCUGAAGGAGCGACGCCGCGUGGGGGAUGAAUGGCUUCGGCCCGUAAACCCCUGUCAUUUGCGAACAAGUUGAUUCACUUAACACGUGAAUCAUUGAUUGUAGCGGAAGAGGAAGGGACGGCUAACUCUGUGCCAGCAGCCGCCGUAA